UCAGAUAUGGUGUACGGUUACAUCGCCUCUAUCGAUAACUGGUAAUUUUUCAACCCAUUUGUCAGAGGCAGGCCGGGGUUCGACUCCCUGUGUCUGAG
Non-coding RNA from Mycena albidolilacea, 98 nucleotides. Lineage: Eukaryota; Fungi; Basidiomycota; Agaricomycetes; Agaricales; Mycenaceae. The record is from the annotation of a GenBank genome assembly.